UGGGCACUUACAGAACAACCAGGUCUUCUCAGUGCAACACCACACUGGGAAACCUAUUGGGAUACAGGCCCAUUCUGUCAAAUCGUUUCUAAUAGGAAACCUCUGUCAUCCUAGGAAUCAAUCAAACACAUCUUUGUUGCUUUGCUUCCAAAGCAGAGGGAAGAUCUGCACAUUGUACUGCAGUACCCUGGGAUGCAUCCCAUCUGGACCAGGAGACCUGUCUACCUUUAGGCCUACUAGUUUGCUCAUCACUACCUCUUUAGUGACAGCGAUUGUAUCGAGGUCCUCACCUCCCAUCACAUCCAUAACAUCGCUUUGGCAUGUUAGACAUGUCUCCACCAUGAAGACUGACACAAAAUAUUUGUUCAAGGCCUCAGCCGUUUCCACAUUACCCAAUAUUAAUUCCCCCUUCUCAUCUUCCAAUGGACCUAUGUUCACUUUAGCCACCCUUUUCCACUUUAUAUAAUUAUAAGAACUUUUAUUAUCUUUUUUUUUAUUUUGUGCUAGCUUACUUUCAUAAUCUAUCUUCCCUUUCCUUAUUGCUUGCUUAGUGAUCCUUUGUUGCUUUUUAAAGUUUUCUCAAUCUUCCAGUUUCCCACUAGUCUUGGCAACUUUGUAUGCAUGAGCUUUUAACUUGAUGCCUUCUUUUAUUUCCUUAGUUAUCCAAGGCUGCCUCUCCCCACCCUUACUGUCCUUGCUUUUAGCUGGAAUAUACUUUUGUUAAGCACCAUGAAAAAUCUUAUUGAAAGUCUUCUAGUGCCAGACACUCUUUGAUACAGUUUAAGGUAGUUCACAGGACCCGUAUGUCCAAAUAUAAGCUAUCCCGUUUUUAUCAACAUAUAAAUCCUAUAUGUGACAGAUGUAAAUCGAAUGUGGCUUCUCUGACACAUAUGUUUCGCUCCUGUCCUCUUUUGGAAAAAUAUUGGAAAUACAUUUUUAACAUUAUCUCAACUGUAUUGAAUAUUGAUUUACAACCUCACCCUAUCACUGCAAUUUUUGGAUUACCAAGG
Pristis pectinata (smalltooth sawfish) is the source of this 1010-nucleotide long non-coding RNA. RefSeq lists it as uncharacterized. The transcript has 3 exons. The record is from RefSeq and is a predicted model, not a curated record. Lineage: Eukaryota; Metazoa; Chordata; Chondrichthyes; Rhinopristiformes; Pristidae.